Molecule: ribosomal RNA, 438 nt
Filed under: uncultured bacterium
Lineage: Bacteria
Description: partial 16S ribosomal RNA
Rfam family: Bacterial small subunit ribosomal RNA
Source: RNAcentral
CUACGGGUCGCUGCAGUGGGGAAUAUUGCACAAUGGAGGGAACUCUGAUGCAGCAACGCCGCGUGGAGGAUGACGCAUUUCGGUGUGUAAACUCCUUUUAUAUAGGAAGAUAAUGACGGUACUAUAUGAAUAAGCACCGGCUAACUCCGUGCCAGCAGCCGCGGUAAUACGGAGGGUGCAAGCGUUACUCGGAAUCACUGGGCGUAAAGCGCAUGCAGGCGGUUAAAUAAGUUGGAAGUGAAAUCCUAUGGCUCAACCAUAGAACUGCUUCCAAAACUGUUUAACUAGAGUCUGGGAGGGAAGAUGGAAUUAGUAGUGUAGGGGUAAAAUCCGUAGAGAUUACUAGGAAUACCCAAAGCGAAGGCGAUCUUCUGGAACAGUACUGACGCUGAGAUGCGAAAGCGUGGGGAGCAAACAGGAUUAGAUACCCCCGUAGUC